GGCGGUUGAGUCGACUCAUUGGAGUUGAAGUGGGGUGGAGAGAGUACGGUUUUUGAGUUAGGAGAGUUUAAAACCCUAGAGAGUGUUGCAGUUGAGGAAGUUCUUGAAGGUGAAAAAGAAAGUGUUGGGUCUGAGAUAAACCCUUGCUUUAUCAUCGUUGACACUUCUCUUGAUGCUGUCAUUUCAAUUCAAUUCAACUCGCCUUAAGAGUAUAG
This 215-nucleotide unclassified non-coding RNA is filed under the name Hevea brasiliensis (rubber tree). Lineage: Eukaryota; Viridiplantae; Streptophyta; Magnoliopsida; Malpighiales; Euphorbiaceae. The record is from RNAcentral.